Molecule: long non-coding RNA, 441 nt
Organism: Myodes glareolus (Bank vole)
Lineage: Eukaryota; Metazoa; Chordata; Mammalia; Rodentia; Cricetidae
Source: RefSeq, a predicted model, not a curated record
AUGGAAAGCAACUGAGACUUAACUGACUGUGAGACCCUGAGAUUUAACUGACUUGCAACUUCACAGACUCCACCUUAAAAGGUGGGGCUUCUUUUAGGACAACCUAGGAUUGACCUCAGUUCCAGGAAUGUGCUGAUAGAGAAACUGACAACCAAUUGGACAGUCAGCUAAGGUGUGAGACCGAAAAAGUCUCUGAAGACAUCCACCCAUCCACCGUCGCAGAUACCUGUUCACACCUUGGCAAGUCAAUUUCUGCACACAAAACCUCUUAUCUGAGGCUCCCCAAAGAGACAAACGCUAAAGCAAUUCUCAGUCUCGUGUCAUCCAUGGUUUUACAAGUGUCCCCUUGCAAUCAAGUUUUGCAGAGGCUUUGAACCUUCAGGAAGCCCUCAGGAUCUGGUUUCUGGAAUAAAGUUUGCUUCUGGUUUAUUAGACUUGGUG